AGGACGAACGCUGGCGGCGUGCCUAACACAUGCAAGUCGAGCGAGGAGAUCCUUCGGGAUGAUCCUAGCGGCGGACGGGUGAGUAACACGUGGGCAACCUGCCUCAUAGAGAGGAAUAGCCUUCCGAAAGGGAGAUUAAUACCUCAUAACAUUGCAGUUUCGCAUGGAACAGCAAUUAAAGGAGUAAUCCGCUAUGAGAUGGGCCCCGCGGCGCAUUAGCUAGUUGGUGAGGUAACGGCUCACCAAGGCGACGAUGCGUAGCCGACCUGAGAGGGUGAUCGGCCACAUUGGGACUGAGACACGGCCCAGACUCCUACGGGAGGCAGCAGUGGGGAAUAUUGCACAAUGGGGGAAACCCUGAUGCAGCCAACGCCGCGUGAGUGAUGACGGCCUUCGGGUUGUAAAGCUCUGUCUUCAGGGACGAUAAUGACGGUACCUGAGGAGGAAGCCACGGCUAACUACGUGCCAGCAGCAGC
RNAcentral lists this ribosomal RNA (476 nucleotides) under uncultured bacterium. RNAcentral describes it as "bacterial SSU rRNA". It matches the Rfam family "Bacterial small subunit ribosomal RNA", at positions 26 to 518 of the family's 1533-position model. The record is from RNAcentral.